This 496-nucleotide ribosomal RNA is filed under the name uncultured bacterium. RNAcentral describes it as "partial 16S ribosomal RNA". It matches the Rfam family "Bacterial small subunit ribosomal RNA", at positions 29 to 507 of the family's 1533-position model. The record is from RNAcentral.
AUGAACGCUGGCGGCGUGCCUAAUACAUGCAAGUCGAGCGAACAGACGAGGAGCUUGCUCCUCUGACGUUAGCGGCGGACGGGUGAGUAACACGUGGAUAACCUACCUAUAAGACUGGGAUAACUUCGGGAAACCGGAGCUAAUACCGGAUAAUAUAUUGAACCGCAUGGUUCAAUAGUGAAAGACGGUUUUGCUGUCACUUAUAGAUGGAUCCGCGCCGCAUUAGCUAGUUGGUAAGGUAACGGCUUACCAAGGCAACGAUGCUUAGCCGACCUGAGAGGGUGAUCGGCCACACUGGAACUGAGACACGGUCCAGACUCCUACGGGAGGCAGCAGUAGGGAAUCUUCCGCAAUGGGCGAAAGCCUGACGGAGCAACGCCGCGUGAGUGAUGAAGGUCUUCGGAUCGUAAAACUCUGUUAUUAGGGAAGAACAAAUGUGUAAGUAACUAUGCACGUCUUGACGGUACCUAAUCAGAAAGCCACGGCUAACUACGUG